AAUCAACGCUGGCGGCGUGCCUCAGACAUGCAAGUCGAACGAUUAAAGCUCUCUUCGGAGAGUGUAUAGAGUGGCGCACGGGUGAGUAACACGUAAGUAAUCUACCCUCGAGUGGGGAAUAACAACCGGAAACGGUUGCUAAUACCGCAUAAUGCAGCGGCACCGCAAGGUGACAGUUGUUAAAGAUUUAUCGCUUGAGGAGGAGCUUGCGGCAGAUUAGCUAGUUGGUAGGGUAACGGCUUACCAAGGCUACGAUCUGUAACCGGUCUAAGAGGACGGUCGGUCACACUGACACUGAAUAACGGGUCAGACUCCUACGGGAGGCAGCAGUCGGGAAUUUUGGGCAAUGGGCGAAAGCCUGACCCAGCAACGCCGCGUGAAGGAUGAAGUAUUUCGGUAUGUAAACUUCGAAAGAAUAGGAAGAAUUAAUGACGGUACUAUUUAUAAGGUCCGGCUAACUACGUAGCCAGCAGCCGCGGUAAU
This 483-nucleotide ribosomal RNA is filed under the name uncultured bacterium. Its description in RNAcentral is "bacterial SSU rRNA". It matches the Rfam family "Bacterial small subunit ribosomal RNA", at positions 32 to 524 of the family's 1533-position model. The record is from RNAcentral.